This 443-nucleotide ribosomal RNA is filed under the name uncultured bacterium. Its description in RNAcentral is "partial 16S ribosomal RNA". It matches the Rfam family "Bacterial small subunit ribosomal RNA", at positions 338 to 795 of the family's 1533-position model. The record is from RNAcentral.
CCUACGGGAGGCAGCAGUGGGGAAUAUUGGGCAAUGGGCGCAAGCCUGACCCAGCAACGCCGCGUGAAGGAAGAAGGCCCUCGGGUUGUAAACUUCUUUUAUCAGGGACGAAACAAAUGACGGUACCUGAUGAAUAAGCCUCGGCUAACUACGUGCCAGCAGCCGCGGUAAUACGUAGGUGGCAAGCGUUAUCCGGAUUUAUUGGGGGUAAAGGGCGUGUAGGCGGGAGAGCAAGUCAGACGUGAAAUUCCAGGGCUCAACCCUGGAACUGCGUUUGAAACUGUUCUUCUUGAGUGAUGGAGAGGCAGGCGGAAUUCCGUGUGGAGCGGUGAAAUGCGUAGAUAUACGGAGGAACACCAGUGGCGAAGGCGGCCUGCUGGACAUUAACUGACGCUGAGGCGCGAAAGCGUGGGGAGCAAACAGGAUUAGAUACCCGAGUAGUC